RNAcentral lists this ribosomal RNA (269 nucleotides) under Monacha cartusiana. RNAcentral describes it as "partial 16S ribosomal RNA". Lineage: Eukaryota; Metazoa; Mollusca; Gastropoda; Stylommatophora; Hygromiidae. The record is from RNAcentral.
GGCUUAUAAUUGAAGUCUAGUAUGAAUGGGAACUCGGGGAUAUUCUGUCUUUUAUUUACGAUUUGAAAUUACUAAUUAAGUGAAAAUUCUUAACCUUUCAGAAAAAAGACGAGAAGACCCUAGAAAUUUUUUAUUAUAUAUUUUGUUGGGGCGACAAGGUAACAUAAAACUUACCUAUGCAAUAGGAAAUUUUUUAGUUGGGUAAAUAAAUUACUCUAGGGAUAACAGCAUAAUAUUUUAAAGUUUGUGACCUCGAUGUUGGACUAGGA